Molecule: long non-coding RNA, 2414 nt
Filed under: Junco hyemalis (dark-eyed junco)
Lineage: Eukaryota; Metazoa; Chordata; Aves; Passeriformes; Passerellidae
Description: lncRNA (ENSJHYG00000002460.1)
Source: RNAcentral
AUGAUGCUUCUUUGUGCGGCAGGAGGACUCGUAUGUCACCGCCCGGAGGAGCGGAGCGGAGCGAUUGGCCGGGUGAAUUAUCUGCCUUGUUGCAGUGAAUUAUUUGCGCUGUUUCCUUUCCCAGUCAACAAGUUUCUGAGCUUGACUUUGAAUUUCCUUAAGUGCCAGAGCGAGGAUACGGUGCUGGGUAAUGCAUUGCCAUGCACUAUAUUUAGAAAGCAGCUGGAAGAGAAGAUGUCCUCAGGAAUCCGGACUGUUUUGUUGUACUUGUCCCUCCCGUCCCGGCCCUGUAACGCAAACGCUCCUUCUGCAGAGGUGUGGGUCGCUGCUGGGAGCUGGGCAAGGACGGGCUCUGCUGGACCCGCGGCUCUCCUCGGCACCUCAGCAAUGUCCAGGGCAGCCAGAGGUGCCGUGGCCAGGGCAGCCUGGCUUUCCCUCCUUUCGCCCGGGCAGCCGCAGGUUGCCCCCAUUGUUCCUGCCGGGUGCCCCAGCCGCGGGCUCAGUGCCCGUUUCGGCGGACAGCGCUCCCCGCCGGGCCGGGCACCGACGGCGCCCUCGGACCCGCUGCCCGCUCCCCCAAGCACUGAGGGGGAUGCUAAACGAGAUCCUGUCCGCUGGAGCCUGGCCCUUCGGGGAUGGGACAGGGCUCCCUGGGGACACCGUGCCGAGGGAACGUCCCCGCCUGGCUGUGAUCCAGGGCGGGAGCCCCAGCGGCACCGAACAGCGCCGGGACAGCCCCGGGGACCCCGAGCCCCGACGGUCGCUCGUCAUGCCGGGCCCCGCGGGUGCUCCGGGCCGGGCAGCUCUGCCCGCUCCCCGGGCGGCAGCGGGGGCAGUGGCCGCGACACCGCCAUGCCAGGAGACGUCUCCGAGCCCCGUCCGCCCGGCCCUGCUCUCGGUGGGCACAGCGAGGGCGGGUCCCGGCUGGGAGCAGGGCCAGCGGCAGCCUCCAGGGGCGGGGCUUCCCACCCAUGCAUCUCUCCAUCCAUCCAUCCACCCACCCACCCACCGCACCGCGUUCCCAGGCCCAGGGGGAUGAUCAGUGUCGGCGGGCGGGAAAGUGACGAGGUUGACGUCUCUUGAGGCCGGAAGAGACCAUUAAAUCACCUGCCUGACCUUCCGCAUCACAGGGCCGUAUUAUUCCAUCCAGUCCUAAGGCAUUAAGCCAAAUAAUUUGUGUUCGAGUAAAAUGUGCCUACAACAGUCUCGUGGUCCUGACGGUUUCAAGAGAGGGAGAUUUUGCUCUUGUCCUGAAGAGUUUGUUGUAGCAGUUAACCCUUGGUUAAGGGAUGAGCCUCGUUUCCAUGACACGUUGCCCCUUGUUUAAAUCACUCCCAAAUGCCAGGCUUUUAUUUUGGAACCUACCAGUCCCGUUGUUGCAACUGUGGCCGCCUCAGCUUUCCCCUUCCUUUGGCACAGGUGUCGUGCCUGGUGUUAGCCCGGGUGAGAGCCCGGCCCUGCUCGGGCUGCCUGGGGUCUCCCGAAGCGCCCAAGCCCUCGAUCAGCUUCCCUGGUGGCUGCCGCAGGGAAGAGUCCCAGCACUCCCAGCCGGGUAGGCCAAGGGACACACCAUUUAAAGGCACUGCGCCUGAUCCUCUCUUACUGUGAAAUCAGCGGCCAACUCCCCUUUCCGACCAAGCCAACGCACAACGGGAGAAGGACCAGGGACCUUCUGGAGAAGCUCUGUGCUCUCUGCCGGGCAGGCAAAGCCUGGUGGUGCCUGCCUGUAUGCGGGUGGUUGGGGUGCUCUGGGCUUGGAGUAUUCGUGAAAGAGGAGAAUAUUUUAUCUGUUGAUCACCUAGGGCUGAAAAUAUUUUAUUUCUCUAGUAAAUGGUUGCUGCCCUCUGUCCUAGGGCACACUGCAGCACGAUGAAGCCAACCCCCCUGCAGAGGAGCAGGCCCCAAGCUGCUGACGCCGGCCCGAGGUAAGGGACGUGAACAGAAGCUGAGGAGCUGGUGCAGGGUCCCCGCCACACCCCAAACACCCCUCUCGCCCCUUUGCUGCUCUGGGCCAUCGAGCUGCACCUUCUGGAUUCACACGCGGGGCGGGGACAUCCGGGGGCUGCGUGUGCCGGUGCCAGCCCGGCACUCACCGUCACCGUCCCUGUUGUGACACCAGACGUGGGGGCCCCGCUCCCUGGCGGCACCGCUGAGCCCGGCAGCGCCGGCCCCGGUGACGCCGGUCCCCUCCGAGCGACGCGCCACCGCAUCUGAGCGCCAGGCAAGCGGUUUUGUCACUUGCUUUGAGACGCGUCCUGCCUGGUCUCUCUUGUUUCAUUACCCGAAAUCCCAGAGAAACCACCCGGCAGGAUCAAUCAGUCACAGGCAGCCAGACAGUUUUCUUGUACUUUAUUAAAGUGUAAUCAAACAUCGGUUAAGUGGAAAAUAAAUAUCCAGAUCUAAUAAGCUGCUCA